Molecule: long non-coding RNA, 882 nt
Organism: Lytechinus variegatus (green sea urchin)
Lineage: Eukaryota; Metazoa; Echinodermata; Echinoidea; Temnopleuroida; Toxopneustidae
Exons: 2
Source: RefSeq, a predicted model, not a curated record
GUCUAUGAGGCGAAAUGGUCAUAGACGAACUGGUGAUUAGACAAAGUGAUUAUUUGACCAAAUGGUCAUUGGCCCAAGUGGCUGUCAGACAAAAUGGCAUUAGACUAUGUAGGUAGACCAUGUGAUGAGUUAGCAUCAGAUGAAUUGGCAGUUAACAGUAUCAAACUUCAUAUCUCAGUGUACAUUUAUAAUGGAUUAGAUGAAUCAGUGAAAGUUGCUACACAGCCAGGAAUUGUGAUUAUUUUUUGACUCGCCGAUCCUCAAUGAUUCUUUAAUUUAAAUCGUUUUAUAUUCCCAUUCUGUUCAAUCUUUAGCAUAUCUAUCCCAAUGAGUACUGUGCAAUUGUUCUCUAUAUAUCUGACCAAGUGUUCCAUUCAAUAGGAUCUUCUAAUUAUUGUAUGCUAAGCACUAGAUGGUUAUUUCCCCAUUCUAUCUGGUAUAGCUCGAGCCACACUUCACACUCUGAAAUCAGUUCGUAUAUUGCAACUUGAAUAUGUUUUUUCACAAUUAUUUAUAUUUAUACAAUCCAGUUAUACAUCCAUUGUUGUCUUUGGCGAAAAAAAACCCUCCUUUAAUAAAUAUUACUAUCAUUAAUAUAUAAAUCAUUGAUUUGUGAAAUUUGUUUGAUAUAUAUUGUACUUGCGCUAGUUGGCUAUUGCCUCUGUUGUACCUCAACUUCCUAAAGCUCUAUAUUGUAUAAAGGCAUGUGUGUCACUCUAUUUUAUUCAUCAGAAAGAAGAUUGUUCAACUUCAGGGGCUGAUGUACACGUAUUUUCCUACUUCAAUGCGGUGUAAUAAACAAAUAACUCGCUUAGUGUGCUGGGUCAAAUUGGCACCUGAAUAGAUUCAAGAUUCAUCUUAUUUUGCCAAAAUCAUUCAGAG